GGGGCAACCCUGGUGGCGAGUGGCGAACGGGUGAGUAAUACAUCGGAACGUGUCCUGUAGUGGGGGAUAGCCCGGCGAAAGCCGGAUUAAUACCGCAUACGCUCUACGGAGGAAAGGGGGGGAUCUUAGGACCUCCCGCUACAGGGGCGGCCGAUGGCAGAUUAGCUAGUUGGUGGGGUAAAGGCCUACCAAGGCGACGAUCUGUAGCUGGUCUGAGAGGACGACCAGCCACACUGGGACUGAGACACGGCCCAGACUCCUACGGGAGGCAGCAGUGGGGAAUUUUGGACAAUGGGGGAAACCCUGAUCCAGCAAUGCCGCGUGUGUGAAGAAGGCCUUCGGGUUGUAAAGCACUUUUGUCCGGAAAGAAAACUUCGGGGUUAAUACCNCUGGAGGAUGACGGUACCGGAAGAAUAAGCACCGGCUAACUACGUGCCAGCAGCCGCGGUAAUACGUAGGGUGCAAGCGUUAAUCGGAAUUACUGGGCGUAAAGCGUGCGCAGGCGGUUCGUUAAGACAGAUGUGAAAUCCCCGGGCUUAACCUGGGAACUGCAUUUGUGACUGGCGGGCUAGAGUAUGGCAGAGGGGGGUAGAAUUCCACGUGUAGCAGUGAAAUGCGUAGAGAUG
RNAcentral lists this ribosomal RNA (626 nucleotides) under Burkholderia sp. M72C1. RNAcentral describes it as "bacterial SSU rRNA". It matches the Rfam family "Bacterial small subunit ribosomal RNA", at positions 76 to 698 of the family's 1533-position model. The record is from RNAcentral. Lineage: Bacteria; Pseudomonadati; Pseudomonadota; Betaproteobacteria; Burkholderiales; Burkholderiaceae.